CAGCUCCUUCGGGGCAGGGUGAAAUUCCCGACCGGCGGUGAAAGCCCGCGAAGCCCGGCGCAAAGCGCGGGGCCCGACCCGGUGGAACUCCGGGGCCGACGGUGAAAGUCCGGAUGGGAGGAGGAGGUG
RNAcentral lists this non-coding RNA (129 nucleotides) under Oceanithermus profundus. Its description in RNAcentral is "FMN sequence". It matches the Rfam family "FMN riboswitch aptamer (RFN element)". Rfam says of the family: The RFN element is a highly conserved domain that is found frequently in the 5'-untranslated regions of prokaryotic mRNAs that encode for flavin mononucleotide (FMN) biosynthesis and transport proteins. This element is a metabolite-dependent riboswitch that directly binds FMN in the absence of proteins. In Bacillus subtilis, the riboswitch most likely controls gene expression by causing premature transcription termination within the 5' untranslated region of the ribDEAHT operon and precluding access to the ribosome-binding site of ypaA mRNA. The record is from RNAcentral. Lineage: Bacteria; Thermotogati; Deinococcota; Deinococci; Thermales; Thermaceae. RNAcentral also lists the same sequence under 1 other name.